UUAAUUGAAACCAAAAAAAGAGGCAAAUUAUUGUUAAUAAUUUUAUUGAAUUAAAUAUUCCAAUUAAU
RNAcentral lists this transfer RNA (68 nucleotides) under Acropyga goeldii. RNAcentral's name for it is "tRNA-Asn". Lineage: Eukaryota; Metazoa; Arthropoda; Insecta; Hymenoptera; Formicidae. The record is from RNAcentral.